CCCUUAGAUGUUCUGGGCCGCACGCGCGCUACACUGACGAAUGCAACGAGCUUAUAACCUUGGCCGAAAGGUCUGGGUAAUCUCCAAAUUUCGUCGUGAUGGGGAUAGAUUAUUGCAAUUAUCCUUCAUGAACGAGGAAUUCCCAGUAAGUGCAAGUCAUAAGCUUGCGCUGACUACGUCCCUGCCCUUUGUACACACCGCCCGUCGCUACUACCGAUUGAAUGAUUUAGUGAGGACUUCGGACUGGGACCGAUGCGGCUUUCGGGCUGCGUCGGUAUUCUGGAAAGAUGUCCAAACUGUAUCAUUUAGAGGAAGUAAAAGUCGUANCA
RNAcentral lists this ribosomal RNA (329 nucleotides) under uncultured eukaryote. RNAcentral describes it as "partial 18S ribosomal RNA". It matches the Rfam family "Eukaryotic small subunit ribosomal RNA", at positions 1470 to 1796 of the family's 1831-position model. The record is from RNAcentral.